AUGUAAUUAGCAGGCUAUAGAUUGUUAUUGGUGCGCGCGGACGAGAAGCUUGCUUCUCUGAUGUUAGCGGCGGACGGGUGAGUAACACGUGGAUAACCUACCUAUAAGACUGGGAUAACUUCGGGAAACCGGAGCUAAUACCGGAUAAUAUUUUGAACCGCAUGGUUCAAAAGUGAAAGACGGUCUUGCUGUCACUUAUAGAUGGAUCCGCGCUGCAUUAGCUAGUUGGUAAGGUAACGGCUUACCAAGGCAACGAUGCAUAGCCGACCUGAGAGGGUGAUCGGCCACACUGGAACUGAGACACGGUCCAGACUCCUACGGGAGGCAGCAGUAGGGAAUCUUCCGCAAUGGGCGAAAGCCUGACGGAGCAACGCCGCGUGAGUGAUGAAGGUCUUCGGAUCGUAAAACUCUGUUAUUAGGGAAGAACAUAUGUGUAAGUAACUGUGCACAUCUUGACGGUACCUAAUCAGAAAGCCACGGCUAACUACGUGCCAGCAGCCGCGGUAAUACGUAGGUGGCAAGCGUUAUCCGGAAUUAUUGGGCGUAAAGCGCGCGUAGGCGGUUUUUUAAGUCUGAUGUGAAAGCCCACGGCUCAACCGUGGAGGGUCAUUGGAAACUGGAAAACUUGAGUGCAGAAGAGGAAAGUGGAAUUCCAUGUGUAGCGGUGAAAUGCGCAGAGAUAUGGAGGAACACCAGUGGCGAAGGCGACUUUCUGGUCUGUAACUGACGCUGAUGUGCGAAAGCGUGGGGAUCAAACAGGAUUAGAUACCCUGGUAGUCCACGCCGUAAACGAUGAGUGCUAAGUGUUAGGGGGUUUCCGCCCCUUAGUGCUGCAGCUAACGCAUUAAGCACUCCGCCUGGGGAGUACGACCGCAAGGUUGAAACUCAAAGGAAUUGACGGGGACCCGCACAAGCGGUGGAGCAUGUGGUUUAAUUCGAAGCAACGCGAAGAACCUUACCAAAUCUUGACAUCCUUUGACAACUCUAGAGAUAGAGCCUUCCCCUUCGGGGGACAAGUGACAGGUGGUGCAUGGUUGUCGUCAGCUCGUGUCGUGAGAUGUUGGGUUAAGUCCCGCAACGAGCGCAACCCUUAAGCUUAGUUGCCAUCAUUUAAGUUGGGCACAUCUUAAGUUGACUGGCCGGUGACCAACCGAGA
RNAcentral lists this ribosomal RNA (1156 nucleotides) under Staphylococcus aureus. Its description in RNAcentral is "bacterial SSU rRNA". It matches the Rfam family "Bacterial small subunit ribosomal RNA", at positions 55 to 1167 of the family's 1533-position model. Lineage: Bacteria; Bacillati; Bacillota; Bacilli; Caryophanales; Staphylococcaceae. The record is from RNAcentral.